This 200-nucleotide ribosomal RNA is filed under the name uncultured Glomus. RNAcentral describes it as "partial small subunit ribosomal RNA". It matches the Rfam family "Eukaryotic small subunit ribosomal RNA", at positions 591 to 797 of the family's 1831-position model. The record is from RNAcentral. Lineage: Eukaryota; Fungi; Glomeromycota; Glomeromycetes; Glomerales; Glomeraceae.
CCAAUAGCGUAUAUUAAAGUUGCUGCAGUUAAAAAGCUCGUAGUUGAAUUUCGGGACCAAUAUGUCGGUCGUGCUUUUGUACGUACUGAUAUAAUUGGUUUCUCCCUUCUGAAGAACCUUGAUGUCAUUAAUUUGGUGUCUUGGGGAAUCAGGACUGUUACUUUGAAAAAAUUAGAGUGUUUAAAGCAGGCUCGCGCUUG